AUUGAACGCUGGCGGCAUGCCUUACACAUGCAAGUCGAACGGUAACAGGUCUUCGGAUGCUGACGAGUGGCGAACGGGUGAGUAAUACAUCGGAACGUGCCUAGUAGUGGGGGAUAACUACUCGAAAGAGUGGCUAAUACCGCAUGAGAUCUACGGAUGAAAGCAGGGGAUCGCAAGACCUUGUGCUACUAGAGCGGCCGAUGGCAGAUUAGGCAGUUGGUGGGAUAAAAGCUUACCAAGCCGACGAUCUGUAGCUGGUCUGAGAGGACGAUCAGCCACACUGGGACUGAGACACGGCCCAGACUCCUACGGGAGGCAGCAGUGGGGAAUUUUGGACAAUGGGCGCAAGCCUGAUCCAGCAAUGCCGCGUGCAGGAUGAAGGCCUUCGGGUUGUAAACUGCAUUUGUACGGAACGAAAAGCCCCGGGUUAAUACCCUGGGGUCAUGACGGUACCGUAAGAAUAAGCACCGGCUAACUACGUGCCAGCCGCCGCGGUAA
RNAcentral lists this ribosomal RNA (498 nucleotides) under uncultured bacterium. RNAcentral's name for it is "partial 16S ribosomal RNA". It matches the Rfam family "Bacterial small subunit ribosomal RNA", at positions 30 to 523 of the family's 1533-position model. The record is from RNAcentral.